GGUUCUAUGGCGCAAUUGGUUAGCGCGUCCGGCUGUUAAUGGUCUUUAUGACCAUUGCACACCGGGAGGUUGAAAGUUCGAGUCUUUCUAGUACCG
Non-coding RNA from Terfezia boudieri ATCC MYA-4762, 96 nucleotides. The record is from the annotation of a GenBank genome assembly. Lineage: Eukaryota; Fungi; Ascomycota; Pezizomycetes; Pezizales; Pezizaceae.